Long non-coding RNA from Daucus carota subsp. sativus, 2160 nucleotides. RefSeq lists it as uncharacterized. The transcript is spliced from 5 exons. NCBI's taxonomy places the organism in Eukaryota, Viridiplantae, Streptophyta, Magnoliopsida, Apiales, Apiaceae. The record is from RefSeq and is a predicted model, not a curated record.
CUAUCGGGACCUAACAAAAUAAAUGUGAAGAAUUUAGAUUUAUAAAUCUGAUUCUAUGUUAAUGUACAUUUUCAAAUUUUUUAAAAAGUUUUGCAGUUUUGUAAAGCUUACACGGCCCUAGAUGAUUAUGUGGCAUAGAGAAGCAAACCAAGGUACUGUAAAAGUAACACAAUCUAUGUGUAGGUUGGUUCAAUAUGUGUCAGGCUUAGUUUCUCUUUGGUUAGGUUAAUGCUUGAGAUUGGUAUGUGAAUCUUUUGUUGCUUCUGUGCCUCCUAGCCUUAGUCAAACUGCCUCAGUGAAUAAUAAACGACCAAGACCACCAAGUGAUAUUUCUGCUGUUGAACCGACUUCUACAGCAGUACCUGCUGCCUGGAACCCUUCCCACGAUUCAAGCCAAUUAAAUGUUUCUCUUGAAGGCCAGAGGACGGAUAUUAAUGUUUAUAGACAGCCCAUGCGAUCAGCAAAAUAUUCAAAUCUCACUACUGAAAGUUCCCAUGUCAGAGCUCCUUGGAGUAAGAUCUCUGAUGAAAAUGAAGAUAACAAAAGUGCCUCUGCAUGGUCUGUUCAACAUAGCUUUACAAACUAGAAUCCAAUGUAUCAAUACAAUGACCAGUUAGCUCUCCCAGUUGAAGAGAAGAAGUCUGAUGCUGUCGACUCAUGCAGGUUAUUUGGCUUUGAUUUAAAAAGUUCAACAGAUGCAGCAAAGAAAAUCACCCCCUUAGACACCAGUCAACGUGUUCAUCAAAGCUGCUGAUGGUGGUGAUUCUGAAGAAAAAUCUGAACUCUCGAAGGAUUCUAAAAUGAAACUUCAAGGGUUGCAAGUAUCACCGAAGGAAGUGCAAAGCAAGCAGAAUUGCUCAAGCAGAGGUCACACUAAGGUCCAAAUGCAAGAAAUAGCAAUGACAUGCAGAUUUUUAAUUGAUGUGGCAAUUCAUUUAAUUGACAUAUUCUGUUGCCUUAUCUUCCACCUCUGAUUUCAAAAUUUUGAAACCAAGAUAUGUGAAAAACUGAUUCGGAGUAGUUAUGAGUGGCCGGAGCAAUCUUCUGCCAUUGUUAUGAUUAUUGUUCUCAUCUCCAAUCAUGGACAGUGAUGGAACAAGUCAGAGUAUUUCUAUAACAUCCUCUGUUGCAGGUCGAAAACGACGUGGUAGUGGAUCAGCACUCGAUGAGUUUUUGCGUAAUAGAUUGACAAAAAUACAGCAGCGCGGUGAGAUUGAUUCAGGUGUGGAUCCCGAAGCAGGUCAUGCAGGCAAUUCAAAGACGAAAAACUGAUCUUCAAUUGCAGGAUGUUUAGUCAAAAGCUUCAAUAAAUAGCGCUGGAUGAUUGUAGAUAGUUUGCAAGCUGAUUAUGAGAAUCCUUCACUUCCUUAUUAAAGCUUCGUUGCAAAAGAUUUAGAUGAAUGUUGCAGUUAGAUGGCUCAGCUACAUCUGAUAAAAUUUUGGUUACGGAAACCAAGAGGUCACCCUUCUCCUGCAGUCUCUUCACUAUUUCAUAUUGGCAUUGCCUCACGGGUGAGAAAUCAAGCCCCAUGUCCUUGAGCUUUUGGUUUGAAAUUGUUAAUGGCCUGGAUCUUGGCUUAAUUUCAUCAGAACUUCUGCAUUACAACCAUGGGAAAUAUAUUGCUAAAGUUUCUACCACCUUGCCGCGAUGAAGCGAGAUUUCGGAGCAGAUGUAUCUUCCUGUUGUUGCAUGGGUCUCAAAGAGAAGAACAUGUGCAGAAGCGACAUCUCUAACAUCAACAUAGGCCUGAACUGAGUUGUUUUGGAAGAUGGCUUUGUUCACAACAGCAUGGUGUACAAUAGCAUAAUAUAUGGUUCUGUCAAGUAAAAUACCAUCAAUUAUGUAUUGGCUGUCUAUAUUAAAAUAUGCAAAAGUGGAAUUUGUCCUCAUGUUUUUAUUUACACUACUUUAGUUGAUGGCCUUAUCAAAAGCAACAACUAUGAUCUGCAUAUGGUUUCAAUUGCUUAAAGGUGCUCGCCAGUCCAAAUGAGCUUAAUGACGGAACGCUUUGCAGCUCAAACAGGAGAUUGGCAUGCUGGAGAUCGUUAUGUAUAGACAAUUUUAUCAGACAACAAUUUUGCAGUUGUGAGAUAAUUACGUAUGGAUUUCAACUUUAUACAUUAUGUAUAAGUAUUUAGUGUAUACUUUUAGGAGAGUAA